Molecule: ribosomal RNA, 439 nt
Filed under: uncultured bacterium
Lineage: Bacteria
Description: partial 16S ribosomal RNA
Rfam family: Bacterial small subunit ribosomal RNA
Source: RNAcentral
CCUACGGGUGGCAGCAGUGGGGAAUAUUGCACAAUGGGGGAAACCCUGAUGCAGCGACGCCGCGUGCGCGAAGAAGUAUUUCGGUAUGUAAAGCUCUAUCAGCAGGGAAGAAAAUGACGGUACGUGAGUAAGAAGCUCCGGCUAAAUACGUGCCAACAGCCGCGGUAAUACGGAGGAUGCGAGCGUUAUCCGGAUUUAUGGGGUUUAAAGGGUGCGCAGGCGGAAGAUCAAGUCAGCGGUAAAAUUGAGAGGCUCAACCUCUUCGAGCCGUUGAAACUGGUUUUCUUGAGUGAGCGAGAGGUAUGCGGAAUGCGUGGUGUAGCGGUGAAAUGCAUAGAUAUCACGCAGAACUCCGAUUGCGAAGGCAGCAUACCGGCGCUCAACUGACGCUCAUGCACGAAAGUGUGGGUAUCGAACAGGAUUAGAUACCCGAGUAGUC